Molecule: long non-coding RNA, 3954 nt
Organism: Passer domesticus (house sparrow)
Lineage: Eukaryota; Metazoa; Chordata; Aves; Passeriformes; Passeridae
Exons: 3
Source: RefSeq, a predicted model, not a curated record
AAAUGGAAAGUCCUGGAGCCCCACAGAGAUUUGCUAAUGGAGGCAUGGGUCAGGAAAAGCAGGGACCAAGACUACCAGCACAGCAGCUGUCAUCCAAAGGACCUGGUCCUGCACUUAGGAAGCCUUUGGUUAUUUAAUACCUGUUCUCUAGGAAAAAAUCAUCACCCUUUAAUGGCCUGCUAAAGCCAACGAUAAAACCUGGGAGAGAAAACAGAAGAAAGGGAAAGAAAGCUACAAACAGCCAAAUCCCCAACUGAAGACAUCCUCUGUGGCCUGUCUUCUUUUGUGUGAGUCACGAAGAGAAACCAUCACACAGAAAAAUGUCAUUGAUAUUAAUAGUAGAGCAGAGUAACACAAAACAUUCCCAGUGCAGACAUUUGAAAUUUACUGUCCCUGCGUGUGCCAGGAGCUGCCACCACUUUUGAGCUGCCAUCUCUGCUUCUUUUGGGGGCUUCCCCCAACCCGUCCCAGCAAAAUCAGCUCUACCUCUUCUCUCAUCCUACUGGACUAGUCUGACUUUCUCCUGCUCAUUCAUUCAGGGUAUUUCUGAGCCUGUGGAGGAGCAUGGGGUUCAGCACAGGGUGGUUUCUGUUUAUUUUAGAUAACCCUUUGUGACCUCUGCCUGGUGCCUGUCCUAUUUCAGGACUAUGGUGGUGCUUCAGUAUUGAAAGGUCUUAGACAUUCUCAGAGACUUGGACACUGAGGUCCUCCUAAAUCCUUCUUUAGUCCUAAAUCCUCCUUUAGUCACAAUAAAAUGCUGUAAGUUUUUCUGUGCUGGGGAUUGUUUCUGCCUCUGUUUUUACACUGCCAGAACAAUGGGAUUCAGAUGUGGAGCAAGGCCUGUGGGGACUCCUGUAAUACAAAUAACACAUUAGUAGGACAUGCUGCUGGAAGUGUGAAAACCAGGGUAUGAAAUCCCAGCAGCUGCAUUCCUCUGCUGGUUCUGGCAAACAGAACUCGAUGGCAAACACAGUAAAUGAAUGUAGGAGCACCUGAAGCAAAACUGUGUCAGCCCAAGGGACGUGUAGUGGAAACUGCUGGGCAGCGUGUGCCAAGUCCCUGUCCCCAGUGAGUGCUGAGCUGCCAUUCCCACAUACCUCCCUCGGGCAACAAAGGAGCUGGAUGCCAGGAUUUUUGCUGGCUUGGCAUUACACAAAAGGCCUGUGGGGUGGGUACAAUGGAAUUUAGGCUGGGCACAGAGGCAGCAUGGGUCUCCAACAAACAAUAGCAACAGCGGGAUCAAAACAGCAGGCAGAAAGUGUAUGCACAAUUACCAGAGCAAAACAGCUGAGGCUGCAAGGACAUAACAUCCCCAGCCCUGUCUCCAAGCAGGAUCCCACCUUUGUUAACCUAAGCACCAAGGGAGCAGGCAUGUAUUCAACGUGAUGUGAUGAAUGUUAUCCAAAAAGGAAGGUGAAAAACAGAGGGAUUAACCCGAGGCCAUAAAUUCCAGUCAGUUCCUCCAGGUUGACAUGGCAUUAAACAAGCCAGUGUCCGGACUUCAUCACAUAACCGAGGCACAGGCAUCAGUGUACAGAGAUGUCAGGACAGAAACUCAGGACAGGUGACAGAAUCUGGUAAAGAAAAAAACAGGGAAAUAAACACAAUCGUAUCUGAAUCAUAAGUGCCCAAAUGAGAAACACUGGAGAAGAAACGUACUCUUAUUUGUAAAGAAACCUGGUAAGUUAAUCCUCCCUUUUAGAGGGGAGGAGAGGAGAAGAGGAUAAAAAUUAUUUCUGCUCUCUGUCAUAAUUGAAUAGACCAUAAAAAUAAUAGAUAGUUGAAAACCAGCUAAUUUUUUUUUAGGAUAUUUUCAGGAAGAAAGUUCAGAUCAAAAUAUGACCAUUUAACUUCUUAAUAUUCAUGAGAAAAGCAUCUCCAGGUUUAGAGCUUCUGAAAGGUACGUGCUCUGUAUGAGGUCUGAUGUUUGCCCCACCUUUUUCAUAUUGGCAUUAAGGAGAGAGCGAGAGAUGAGGAUAAAAAAAAUAUUCUAUGGGAAGUAAAAAUUGGAGAUUCAGUUUUUGAUCACAGUAUCAGGGACAUUCUUGUGUGGCCAUCAGAAUUUAGUACACUCAGAUAAUAACUUGCAGAACUGACUCUAUCCUUGGGGAUUUAGGCUGCACUGGUAUUCCACAUUAGAAUAAGAAGACAAAAAAGGAUGGAGAAGAUUUAUUACAUUUUUAUAACUAGCCAAAAUAUUGCACUAAAAUCUUUUCUCCAGCAUGAUUCUUUGGGUCAGAGUUUUCUGCUACAGACAGAAAGAAUAGGUUUGAUGUUGUUGAUACCUUUCCAUAUUUGUCAUGUCUUUUAGAGUUACACCUCUUGUUGUUGCUUCCUCAGGAUAUUGCACAUGAGACGUGCUCCUGAAACUAGAAACCAGCUAAAAACCCAACCUGAAUAAAUGGAGCCUGCUCAAUAAUUAGUCUUCAAGUACUACAUGGAAGCUUGAAUAGGGAAUUGAAUGGGAUUUAAUUCUGGGGAGGCCUGGAAAAUGAAAAGGCCUUCAGUGUAUAUGAAAAAUAGCACAUGCAGCUACUUUCAAACCGUUCUCACUCCUCACAGUGGAGCAGUUCAGGUCUGCCAGCAUGGCACUUCCCAGCUCAACAAGUGACGGACACAGAAUAGCUCUCAGUCCACUCACAGAAAACUGUCAAGACAUAAUGUUCUAUACAUUUCAGAAACAGCUGCCUGGUUUGAUUUUGGACUUAGAUAGCUAGAGGAGAUUUCUAAGUCUGUUCAUGCCACUAUUAAGCAGGAAUUUUUGGAUGGAAAAGGAAAGAGACUUUUACAAUCUUUUUGCAACUUCCACCUUUAUGAUUAUUACAUGUUAAUAUCUCAUUAUAACUUUAAAACUCUCAUUUCAAGUGCUGAGGCCAUGAUCCCUAAAUACAACAGCCAGGAAUUCCCACAAUUUUACCUGGCUUGCAAAGAGAUAAAACAUGAAUAUCUAAAACAGUGCAGAAAUUCCUGAUGUGAGGUAUCAGCUGCUGAUUAGAGAGGAGCAAACCAGAGUCAGGGCAUCAGUGUUCAUCCCUUGUGUUUGAACAUUUGGCCGUGACAUGGAACCAUCUUUCAGCUGGAUCUGGUACAAAAGUGAACGUGACAGACUGAGCAGCAGCUUGGUGCAAGGAGAUGUGGCUGAGGCGUGAGUAACAGUUGCCGAUAAAAGCUAAUGAGCAACUCCUCAGGGCCUACCUGGGACUUACUUCCUGAAAUGGCCUGCAAGUCUCAUCUUGCCAAAUAUCUUUUUAAGUGCAUUAGUGCCUGAUUGCACAAAAAAAAGGUAAAAAAAUUAAUCUAAGAACUGUAAUAGCCAAGAAUACCAGUCUGUCUUGUGGCAGUUUUGUUUGUUUGGUGUUGAUAGAAAGUAAAUUUUUAAAAAAGGGUUUUACUAACAGUUUCUGUGAUACUCUGUGAUGAUAAUUUUUAUGUCAGCAACUGCUGACAAUGCUCCAAAAUCUGUGGAAAUAUUAAAACCUCUUUUUGAUUAGGCAUUGGGGUCAGCACUAAACUUGUUCUUACACCAAGUGAAAAAAGCUCUUACUCAGGUCUGAUCUGCCAUGUGACUCAUCCACUUUUGCCAUUUUCCCAGCAGCUGAAAGGAAAAGUGAAGCAAAGGCUCAUUCUUGAAGAGAGAAGCUGAGCCUGGGCAGGUGGCUCUUUCCAGAGAUUUUUGUGCUGGUGCUGUGCUCAGGAAAGGCAGCAGGAAAAGCUGGGGUAGUCAAUCCAAAGAGAAAUGAACUUACUGAAGACAUGCAGAUACAGCAAGAUGUCUAAACAGACUGACCUGUUAUUAGCAUUUCCCAAUCCACAUUCUUCUGGAAGGAGAAAGGGCCCUAAGCAAUGACAUGUUUGAAGUUUACCUGGCAAGGAAGGAGCUCUUGGACUGAAAUGUGUGUCCACAGAUAAGGUGGGAAAUGAACACUUUCAUGUCUUACGAAACUUGCAAUUUUU